This 259-nucleotide ribosomal RNA is filed under the name uncultured Leptolinea sp. RNAcentral's name for it is "partial 16S ribosomal RNA". It matches the Rfam family "Bacterial small subunit ribosomal RNA", at positions 1110 to 1382 of the family's 1533-position model. Lineage: Bacteria; Bacillati; Chloroflexota; Anaerolineae; Anaerolineales; Anaerolineaceae. The record is from RNAcentral.
GUAUGUUAUAUGUGUCAUACGAGACUGCCGGUAAAAGCCGGAGGAAGGUGAGGAUGAUGUCAAGUCAGCAUGACCUUUAUAUCCCAGGGCUACACACACGCUACAAUGGUCUAGCACAAUAGGUUGCUAAGCCGCGAGGUGGCGCCAAUCCAUAAAGUUGGUCUCAGUUCAGAUUGCAGGCUGCAACCCGCCUGCAUGAAGAUGGAGUUGCUAGUAACCGCAGGUCAGCUAUACUGCGGUGAAUACGUUCCCGGGGCUU